AUGGGCGCAGCCUGAUGCAGCGACGCCGCGUGCGGGAUGACGGCCUUCCGGUUGUAAACCGCUUUUGAUCGGGAGCAAGCCUUCGGGUGAGUGUACCUUUCGAAUAAGCACCGGCUAACUACGUGCCAGCAGCCGCGGUAAUACGUAGGGUGCAAGCGUUAUCCGGAAUUAUUGGGCGUAAAGGGCUCGUAGGCGGUUCGUCGCGUCCGGUGUGAAAGUCCAUCGCUUAACGGUGGAUCUGCGCCGGGUACGGGCGGGCUGGAGUGCGGUAGGGGAGACUGGAAUUCCCGGUGUAACGGUGGAAUGUGUAGAUAUCGGGAAGAACACCAAUGGCGAAGGCAGGUCUCUGGGCCGUCACUGACGCUGAGGAGCGAAAGCGUGGGGAGCGAACAGGAUUAGAUACCCUGGUAGUCCAAGGGCGAAUUC
RNAcentral lists this ribosomal RNA (426 nucleotides) under uncultured bacterium. RNAcentral describes it as "SSU rRNA". It matches the Rfam family "Bacterial small subunit ribosomal RNA", at positions 371 to 808 of the family's 1533-position model. The record is from RNAcentral.